RNAcentral lists this ribosomal RNA (431 nucleotides) under Bacillus velezensis. RNAcentral's name for it is "bacterial SSU rRNA". It matches the Rfam family "Bacterial small subunit ribosomal RNA", at positions 630 to 1059 of the family's 1533-position model. Lineage: Bacteria; Bacillati; Bacillota; Bacilli; Caryophanales; Bacillaceae. The record is from RNAcentral.
AAACUGGGGAACUUGAGUGCAGAAGAGGAGAGUGGAAUUCCACGUGUAGCGGUGAAAUGCGUAGAGAUGUGGAGGAACACCAGUGGCGAAGGCGACUCUCUGGUCUGUAACUGACGCUGAGGAGCGAAAGCGUGGGGAGCGAACAGGAUUAGAUACCCUGGUAGUCCACGCCGUAAACGAUGAGUGCUAAGUGUUAGGGGGUUUCCGCCCCUUAGUGCUGCAGCUAACGCAUUAAGCACUCCGCCUGGGGAGUACGGUCGCAAGACUGAAACUCAAAGGAAUUGACGGGGGCCCGCACAAGCGGUGGAGCAUGUGGUUUAAUUCGAAGCAACGCGAAGAACCUUACCAGGUCUUGACAUCCUCUGACAAUCCUAGAGAUAGGACGUCCCCUUCGGGGGCAGAGUGACAGGUGGUGCAUGGUUGUCGUCAGC